UCCCUGGUGGUCCAGAGGUUGAGACUGUGCUCUGAAUGCAGAGGGUCCAGGUUCAAUCCCUGGUCAGGGAU
Ovis aries (sheep) is the source of this 71-nucleotide transfer RNA. It matches the Rfam family "tRNA". Rfam says of the family: Transfer RNA (tRNA) molecules are approximately 80 nucleotides in length. The record is from Rfam. Lineage: Eukaryota; Metazoa; Chordata; Mammalia; Artiodactyla; Bovidae.